CUGCCCGGUGCUCGAAGGUUAAUUGAUGGGGUUAGCAUUAGCGAAGCUCUUGAUCGAAGCCCGAGUAAACGGCGGCCGUAACUAUAACGGUCCUAAGGUAGCGAAAUUCCUUGUCGGUUAAAUACCGACCUGCAUGAAUGGCGUAACGAGAUGGGAGCUGUCUCAAAGAGGGAUCCAGUGAAAUUGUAGUGGAGGUGAAAAUUCCUCCUACCCGCGGCAAGACGGAAAGACCCCGUGGACCUUUACUACAGCUUGACACUGCUAUUUGGAUAAGAAUGUGCAGGAUAGGUGGGAGGCUUUGAGUAUAUGACGCCAGUUGUAUAUGAGCCAUUGUUGAGAUACCACUCUUUCUUAUUUGGGUAGCUAACCAGCUUGAGUUAUCCUCAAGUGGGACAAUGUCUGGUGGGUAGUUUGACUGGGGCGGUCGCCUCCCAAAUAAUAACGGAGGCUU
This 451-nucleotide ribosomal RNA is filed under the name Campylobacter coli. Its description in RNAcentral is "bacterial LSU rRNA". It matches the Rfam family "Bacterial large subunit ribosomal RNA", at positions 1859 to 2309 of the family's 2925-position model. Lineage: Bacteria; Pseudomonadati; Campylobacterota; Epsilonproteobacteria; Campylobacterales; Campylobacteraceae. The record is from RNAcentral.